Molecule: ribosomal RNA, 468 nt
Filed under: uncultured bacterium
Lineage: Bacteria
Description: partial 16S ribosomal RNA
Rfam family: Bacterial small subunit ribosomal RNA
Source: RNAcentral
GACGAACGCUGGCGGUGUGCUUAACACAUGCAAGUCGAACGGUAAGGCCCUUUCGGGGUUACACGGUUGGCGAACGGGUGAGUAACACGUGAGUCACCUGCUCUCACUUCCGGGAUCACAUUCGUAACCGGUUGCUAAUAUUGCAUAUGAGCUUUCAUCGCGUUCUUUGGGUUGGAAAGAUUUUUUUUGGUGUUGUAUGGGCUCGCGGUCUAUCAGCUUGCUGUCGAGGUGGUGGCGCACCAAGGCUUCGACGGGUAGCUGGCCUGUAAGGGCGACCGGCAAAAUUGGGACACACAUACGGACCAAACUCCUACGGGAGGCAGCAGAAGGGACUCUUGCACAAUGGACGGAAGCCUGAUGAAGCAGCGCCGCGUGCGGGAUGAGAGCCUUCGGGUUGUAAACCGCUUUCAAGUGUGACGAAGGUGUUUUGUGACGGUAGCAGUAGAAGAAGCACCGGCUAACUACGUG